Molecule: transfer RNA, 62 nt
Filed under: Amorphoscelis hainana
Lineage: Eukaryota; Metazoa; Arthropoda; Insecta; Mantodea; Hymenopodidae
Description: tRNA-Thr
Rfam family: tRNA
About the family: Transfer RNA (tRNA) molecules are approximately 80 nucleotides in length. Their secondary structure includes four short double-helical elements and three loops (D, anti-codon, and T loops).
Source: RNAcentral
GUUUUAGUAGUUUAAAUAAAACGUAGGUCUUGUAAACCUAAAAUAAUUUUAAUUCUAAAACU